Scylla paramamosain (green mud crab) is the source of this 122-nucleotide small nuclear RNA. Lineage: Eukaryota; Metazoa; Arthropoda; Malacostraca; Decapoda; Portunidae. The record is from RefSeq and is a predicted model, not a curated record.
CACAUGUAUGAAAGGAGAGGUUAGCACUCUCCUUGAUAAGGAUGGACAACACAUAUGUAUAAUGUCAAGACACUGUCACUCUGCCAACACUUAACACACAUGUGAUUUGAUACUUGGAUUUU